RNAcentral lists this ribosomal RNA (246 nucleotides) under uncultured bacterium. Its description in RNAcentral is "partial 16S ribosomal RNA". It matches the Rfam family "Bacterial small subunit ribosomal RNA", at positions 796 to 1041 of the family's 1533-position model. The record is from RNAcentral.
CACGCCCUAAACGAUCUUGACUAGAUUUGGGGAGUAUCGACCCUCUCCGAGUCGUAGCUAACGCGUUAAGUCAAGCGCCUGGGUAGUACGACCGCAAGGUUAAAACUCAAAGGAAUAGACGGGGACUUGCACAAGCGGUGGAUCAUGUGGCUUAAUUCGUAGAUAAACGAAGAACCUUACCAGGACUAGAAACCAAACUGAAUACUUAGGGAAACUUAGGUAGCCUUCGGGCAGUUUGGCAGGUGA